This 253-nucleotide ribosomal RNA is filed under the name uncultured bacterium. RNAcentral's name for it is "partial 16S ribosomal RNA". It matches the Rfam family "Bacterial small subunit ribosomal RNA", at positions 524 to 776 of the family's 1533-position model. The record is from RNAcentral.
UACGUAGGGUGCAAGCGUUGUCCGGAAUUAUUGGGCGUAAAGGGCUCGUAGGCGGUCCAUCACGUCGGGAGUGAAAAGCUGGGGCUUAACCCCAGAACUGCUUCCGAUACGGGCAGACUAGAGGUAGGUAGGGGAGAAUGGAAUUCCUGGUGUAGCGGUGGAAUGCGCAGAUAUCAGGAGGAACACCAGUGGCGAAGGCGGUUCUCUGGGCCUUACCUGACGCUGAGGAGCGAAAGCGUGGGGAGCAAACAGG